GGGCCUGUAGCUCAGUUGGUCAGAGCAUGCGCUUGAUAAGCGCAGGGUCACUGGUUCGAGCCCAGUCAGGCCCA
This is a non-coding RNA of Methylacidiphilum infernorum V4, 74 nucleotides long. NCBI's taxonomy places the organism in Bacteria, Pseudomonadati, Verrucomicrobiota, Methylacidiphilae, Methylacidiphilales, Methylacidiphilaceae. The record is from Rfam.